RNAcentral lists this ribosomal RNA (484 nucleotides) under uncultured bacterium. RNAcentral describes it as "partial 16S ribosomal RNA". It matches the Rfam family "Bacterial small subunit ribosomal RNA", at positions 30 to 507 of the family's 1533-position model. The record is from RNAcentral.
AUUGAACGCUGGCGGCAGGCCUAACACAUGCAAGUCGAGCGGAUGAAGGAAGCUUGCUCCUGGAUUCAGCGGCGGACGGGUGAGUAAUGCCUAGGAAUCUGCCUGGUAGUGGGGGAUAACGUCCGGAAACGGGCGCUAAUACCGCAUACGUCCUGAGGGAGAAAGUGGGGGAUCUUCGGACCUCACGCUAUCAGAUGAGCCUAGGUCGGAUUAGCUAGUUGGUGGGGUGAAGGCCUACCAAGGCGACGAUCCGUAACUGGUCUGAGAGGAUGAUCAGUCACACUGGAACUGAGACACGGUCCAGACUCCUACGGGAGGCAGCAGUGGGGAAUAUUGGACAAUGGGCGAAAGCCUGAUCCAGCCAUGCCGCGUGUGUGAAGAAGGUCUUCGGAUUGUAAAGCACUUUAAGUUGGGAGGAAGGGCAGUAAGUUAAUACCUUGCUGUUUUGACGUUACCAACAGAAUAAGCACCGGCUAACUUCGUG